AGAAUCAACGCUGGCGGCGUGCCUAACACAUGCAAGUCGAACGCGAAAGGGGAGCAAUCCCUGAGUAGAGUGGCAAACGGGUGAGUAACACGUGGGUGACCUGCCUUCGAGGGGGGGAUAACGUUCCGAAAGGAACGCUAAUACCGCAUGACAUCCUGCUUUUGGAAAAGCGGAGAUCAAAGCUGGGGAUUCGCAAGAACCUAGCGCUUGAAGAGGGGCCCGCGCCUGAUUAGCUAGUUGGUGAGGUAACGGCUCACCAAGGCUACGAUCAGUA
Molecule: ribosomal RNA, 274 nt
Filed under: uncultured soil bacterium
Lineage: Bacteria
Description: partial 16S ribosomal RNA
Rfam family: Bacterial small subunit ribosomal RNA
Source: RNAcentral